GGGUCAGUAGGUUGGUCGUGCCACCGGUACGUACUGGUCUCACUGAUUCCUCCUUCCUGAAGAACCGUAAUGCCAUUAAUUUGGUGUUGCGGGGAAACAGGACUGUUACUUUGAAAAAAUUAGAGUGUUUAAAGCAAGCUAACGCUUGAAUACAUUAGCAUGGAAUAAUGAAAUAGGACGAUCGAUCCUAUUUUGUUGGUUUCUAGGAUUGACGUC
This 216-nucleotide ribosomal RNA is filed under the name Glomeromycotina sp. RNAcentral's name for it is "partial small subunit ribosomal RNA". The stretch from base 40 to 216 matches the Rfam family "Eukaryotic small subunit ribosomal RNA", at positions 686 to 864 of the family's 1831-position model. The record is from RNAcentral. Lineage: Eukaryota; Fungi; Glomeromycota.